RNAcentral lists this ribosomal RNA (464 nucleotides) under uncultured bacterium. Its description in RNAcentral is "bacterial SSU rRNA". It matches the Rfam family "Bacterial small subunit ribosomal RNA", at positions 917 to 1382 of the family's 1533-position model. The record is from RNAcentral.
GGGCCCGCACAAGCGGUGGAGCAUGUGGUUCAAUUCGACGCAACGCGAAGAACCUUACCCAGGCUUGAACAGCGAGUCACAUCCGGCGAAAGCCGGCUCCCGCAAGGGGACUCGUAGAGGUGCUGCAUGGCUGUCGUCAGCUCGUGUCGUGAGAUGUUGGGUUAAGUCCCGCAACGAGCGCAACCCUUGUCCUCUGUUGCCAUCAGGUUACGCUGGGCACUCUGAGGAGACUGCCGGUGAUAAACCGGAGGAAGGUGGGGAUGACGUCAAGUCAGCAUGGCCUUUAUGUCUGGGGCUACACACGUGCUACAAUGGCCGGUACAAACCGUCGCGAUACCGUAAGGUGGAGCUAAUCGGAGAAAGCCGGUCUCAGUUCGGAUUGCAGGCUGCAACUCGCCUGCAUGAAGUUGGAAUCGCUAGUAAUCGCGGAUCAGCACGCCGCGGUGAAUACGUUCCCGGGCCUU